This 253-nucleotide ribosomal RNA is filed under the name uncultured bacterium. Its description in RNAcentral is "partial 16S ribosomal RNA". It matches the Rfam family "Bacterial small subunit ribosomal RNA", at positions 524 to 776 of the family's 1533-position model. The record is from RNAcentral.
UACGGAGGGUGCAAGCGUUAUCCGGAUUUAUUGGGUUUAAAGGGUCCGUGGGCGGAUCUGUAAGUCAGUGGUGAAAUCUCACAGCUUAACUGUGAAACUGCCAUUGAUACUGCAGGUCUUGAGUAAGGUAGAAGUGGCUGGAAUAAGUAGUGUAGCGGUGAAAUGCAUAGAUAUUACUUAGAACACCAAUUGCGAAGGCAGGUCACUAUGUCUUAACUGACGCUGAUGGACGAAAGCGUGGGGAGCGAACAGG